UAGGGAAUCUUCGGCAAUGGACGAAAGUCUGACCGAGCAACGCCGCGUGAGUGAAGAAGGUUUUCGGAUCGUAAAACUCUGUUGUUAGAGAAGAACGUUGUGUAGAGUGGAAAAUUACACAAGUGACGGUAUCUAACCAGAAAGGGACGGCUAACUACGUGCCAGCAGCCGCGGUAAUACGUAGGUCCCGAGCGUUGUCCGGAUUUAUUGGGCGUAAAGCGAGCGCAGGUGGUUUAAUAAGUCUGAUGUAAAAGGCAGUGGCUCAACCAUUGUGUGCAUUAGAAACUGUUAGACUUGAGUGCAGUAGAGGAGAGUGGAAUUCCAUGUGUAGCUGUGAAGUGCAUAGAUAGAUAGAGGAACACCGGUGGAGAAAGCGGCUCUCUGGACUGUCACUGACACUGAGGCGCGAGAGCGUGGAUAGCAAAC
RNAcentral lists this ribosomal RNA (426 nucleotides) under uncultured bacterium. RNAcentral describes it as "bacterial SSU rRNA". It matches the Rfam family "Bacterial small subunit ribosomal RNA", at positions 355 to 773 of the family's 1533-position model. The record is from RNAcentral.